This 31-nucleotide non-coding RNA is filed under the name Mus musculus (house mouse). Lineage: Eukaryota; Metazoa; Chordata; Mammalia; Rodentia; Muridae. The record is from RNAcentral.
UAACAUUGUUGAAAAGAGCAAAGUCCAGGUC